AAUAGGCCGGCAAGGGUGGUGAGCUUACACAUGACGAGACAACAAUUAUAAGUGGGGCACUAGAUUUAACUGAGAAGACAGCUGAGGAGGCUAUGACACCCAUUGAAUCAACGUUUUCCUUAGAUGUCAAUUCAAAGUUGGACUGGGAGGCUAUGGGAAAAGUUCUUGCUCGGGGCAUAGUCGAGUUCCUGUCUAUUCUGGGAAUCCGAAGAACGUUAUUGGACUGCUUCUGGUGAAAAGUCUUCUUACUGUACGACCUGAAACAGAGACUCCAGUCAGUGCCGUUUCCAUCCGGAGAAUACCCCGGUUUGCUUAACUCUUCAAUUACUAAUUUUUUAUUUUUCAGAAAAUACAUUCAGUCAGAGUAUCCAGUGUUGAUUUGUAUGUUGUAUACUCAGAGGUCCUGCCGAUAUGCUACUGUAAUGACAAGUGCACAAAAAAUGGACUCACAACAAAGACAAGUGCACAAAGGAUGAUGAAUUGAAGGAUGGAGCAAGUUUCAUGCAUGGUUUACUUUUGUGUAUCUUGUAAUUUUUUGUUUUUCAUUUUUGAAGUAAAAAAUGUUCAAGAUUAUAAUACUUUAUUAUGUUAUGCUUUCAAACUUAAGUUAGAACUAAGAUCUCAUGAAAUAGACACAUUCAGAGUUUGAAUUAGUUAUUGUUUAAUGUAAUACUUAUGGUUUAUCAAUCUAUUGAGAAUUAUAUUUUAU
Molecule: long non-coding RNA, 709 nt
Organism: Humulus lupulus (European hop)
Lineage: Eukaryota; Viridiplantae; Streptophyta; Magnoliopsida; Rosales; Cannabaceae
Exons: 4
Source: RefSeq, a predicted model, not a curated record